UUGGUCUUCAUGAGAUAUUCUUCUGUCUUUCCAAUCAGUUCCUUUUGGGUCAAUUUCUGCCUCUUAUUAUCCUUGGACAGUGGGAUGUGGACCUGCAGAGAUGGGUGAAGAGGUGAGGAAGACAUGACAGGCAGUUUGAAAAAAGUCUAAAGUUGGGUGUAAAAACAGUGACAACCGAGAGCCUGAAGCUGCUGGGAUGAGUGCCCAACGCAGAAUCCUGUUCCCUGGCAGGCAUAUUUACACUGCGCUCCAGUGCUUGGGCCUGCUCCUUCCAAGAAGACAGGAUGCCAGGAUGGCCGGGACUCCGCUCGCUGGGACACCAUGGUCUUUGUGAGCAGCAGGCCUGAAGUGGUGAAAGCCAUCAUGAA
RNAcentral lists this long non-coding RNA (368 nucleotides) under Homo sapiens (human). RNAcentral describes it as "HSALNT0185874". Lineage: Eukaryota; Metazoa; Chordata; Mammalia; Primates; Hominidae. The record is from RNAcentral.